AAAUCGCUGGAAGGGAAGCGAAUGGAGUCGCCAAUUCACCUGGUCAGAUUCAGCCGCUCGCUUACCACAACGCGCACGCAUUUUCGCGAUCUUCCCAGACGCAUCGUGUGCGACGUGGAAUGGGCGUGGCGCACUUCUGUCACGUGAACGUCAACGUCAGUUCACUGCGAGUCAAGCGGCCCCGAGGACGGUAGGUCCCGUUUUUGCGGGAUCGGCAAGCCUCUCGUGCCCGCGACUCCACGUGGACUGUGUCCUGUCGCAGCGCGGGCCUGCCUUUCGAGGACAGGCUGCAGUCUCGUCGAUCGACCGCUCAUGGCGUUAAACGGACGGCGAUGCCUGUGCGUUACAAGCGCUGCCGGUCGACUGGCGAGGGAAAUCGACACGACGCGCUGAGUACGUUGACCGCCAAGCGACUCCAUCCGACCCGUCUUGAAACACGGACCAAGGAGUCUAACAUGUGCGCGAGUCUCAGGGUGACCGAAACCCAUGGGCGUAAUGAAGGUAAAUGCGCUUUGUGCGCAGAGGUGAGAAGUUCGUUGCAGCUGCAUCACCGACCGACCUGUUCUACUCUUGGGAAGGUUUGAGUUAGAGCGCACCUGUUGGGACCCGAAAGAUGGUGAACUAUGCCUGAGUAGGGCGAAGCCAGCGG
Molecule: ribosomal RNA, 649 nt
Filed under: Keratoisididae sp. RB-19-113
Lineage: Eukaryota; Metazoa; Cnidaria; Anthozoa; Scleralcyonacea; Keratoisididae
Description: partial 28S ribosomal RNA
Rfam family: Eukaryotic large subunit ribosomal RNA
Source: RNAcentral